GGGGCAGCAACCCAACAACGGGUUGUCCGAUUCAUCUGAAAAUUUCGGGGCAGAUAGAUCUUGACCUGAUAAACAAUUUAACCCCCAUGUCAGAUUUGCUCUAAACGCUUUGGUUUUUGAGUUAUAAGCCAAAAACUGCAUUUUACCCCUAUGUUCUAUUUUUAGCCAUGGCGGCCAUCUUGGUUGGAUGGCCGGGUCAUCG
This 202-nucleotide long non-coding RNA is filed under the name Mytilus galloprovincialis (Mediterranean mussel). Lineage: Eukaryota; Metazoa; Mollusca; Bivalvia; Mytilida; Mytilidae. The record is from RNAcentral.